Molecule: long non-coding RNA, 396 nt
Filed under: Homo sapiens (human)
Lineage: Eukaryota; Metazoa; Chordata; Mammalia; Primates; Hominidae
Description: non-protein coding LINC01016:6
Source: RNAcentral
CAGUCACAGCAAGCUCACUUCACAGGAACCAAGCUGUGGGCUGAUCCUACAGACUUGAAAAGACAACUCAAAAAGGUUGGCUGUGAUAGGUGUCCCUGGCCACGUCAGUGGAGCACCCAGGCCUCAAGCAGCAUGCUGGGGAAGGGAAAACCCCCCAUUCUGGUGAUGGAGGUGGCCAUGACCAUGUCUGGUUUUCAAAGGCAGCUUUGUAAGAACAGAAACCAGCAGCUCCCCAACAUCUGGCCCUAUCUGCUGUGCAAACCACAGGGACCAGGACCUUUCCGGGGUGCCAGUGGCAUCCUCUGGAACCAGCUUCUCAGUGGAAUUUCAGAUGCUAUUCCUGGUCAAUUGCCUUUGCUAUGUGCUAUCCUUUAAUAAAUUCUGUUUCUCCUCAUA